RNAcentral lists this ribosomal RNA (499 nucleotides) under uncultured bacterium. RNAcentral describes it as "bacterial SSU rRNA". It matches the Rfam family "Bacterial small subunit ribosomal RNA", at positions 899 to 1397 of the family's 1533-position model. The record is from RNAcentral.
ACUCAAAGGAAUAGACGGGGGCCCGCACAAGCAGCGGAGCAUGUGGUUUAAUUCGAAGCAACGCGAAGAACCUUACCAGGUUUUGACAUCCAAUUAAAGCUGUGGAAACACAGUGUCUCGCAAGAGGAAUUGAGACAGGUGGUGCAUGGUUGUCGUCAGCUCGUGUCGUGAGAUGUUGGGUUAAGUCCCGCAACGAGCGCAACCCUUGUGAUCAGUUACUAACGGGUAAAGCCGAGGACUCUGAUCAGACCGCCGGGGAUAACUCGGAGGAAGGUGGGGACGACGUCAAAUCAUCAUGCCCCUUAUAACCUGGGCUACACACGUGCUACAAUGGCUACGGACAAAGAGGAGCGAAGUCGUAAGGCGGAGCGGAUCUCAUAAAAGUAGUCUCAGUUCGGAUUGUGGGCUGCAACCCGCCCACAUGAAGUCGGAGUUGCUAGUAAUCGCGAAUCAGCAUGUCGCGGUGAAUGCGUUCCCGGGCCUUGUACACACCGCCCGU